RNAcentral lists this unclassified non-coding RNA (310 nucleotides) under Hevea brasiliensis (rubber tree). Lineage: Eukaryota; Viridiplantae; Streptophyta; Magnoliopsida; Malpighiales; Euphorbiaceae. The record is from RNAcentral.
AACUUACAAGUUCUCUUUUUUUUUUUUUUCCAUUUCCUAAUUUCUCAUUUUAAUAAAAAAGAACUGGAAAUAAAAUAAAAUCCCUCAAACAAAAGAAACCAAAUACCCAUCCAUCCUAUUCACAAAUUUCCAUUAAUGGUGUAGUCUAUAGAUACCUCAGGGGCCAGACAACUUGGCAGCCAGGGUCCCUUGUCACUUCGACUCUUCCCAAUUGAACUUGUAAAAACCACCAGCCCCAGAAAAGAACCCAAAAAUAUUUGCCAAUGAUAAACUCUUCCAUAUCACUCAACUCCUUUAGAUUUCCACCUAA